GGUGCGCGCCACCUCGUCAGCACAACGCCAGAGCGUGUACAAAGUCAACAAAAAAGAUCCGCCCGCCCCUCCCCCCUUAUCCGCUCUCGGACCCCUCCCCUGCCGUGGAUGUGCACCGAGCGAGGAGGCGCUGGCACGCGCGCACACGCGAUAACUGUCGAAGGGCAUCAAACGAGAUGCAUGAUACAUGGAUGCACAGAGUGAUGUUAGCUCGCACAUACACGCUCACACACAACGAGCGGUAACUCCCCCCCCCCCGAUGGCUGGCGGCCCUUUCCACCCUCGCGCUCGGGCCUUUCUCGCGUGCUUACACGGCUUGUUUUGUCGCUCGUGACUACGGCACCAGCGCAGCGGUAGCAGCCGCAGCGGAUGGGAGCCAGAAUUGCGUAGAAGGAUCACGACAGGCCUGUUCACGCCCCCUUCCCCCACGCACCCCUCCUUUCUUCCCUGCACAGGAGCGCUUAGUCGAUUUGUUGCUCUUCCAUGUCCGACCCGCGGCUUCCCCACGGGACUCCUUCCUACCCCUCCGCCUCCCUCCCCUCUCUCUACUUUUCCCUUCGGUCCUCACCCCUGAG
Molecule: unclassified non-coding RNA, 575 nt
Filed under: Leishmania donovani
Lineage: Eukaryota; Euglenozoa; Kinetoplastea; Trypanosomatida; Trypanosomatidae
Description: gene:unknown
Source: RNAcentral